UAACUGCGCGUCAUAGUGUGAACUGCAGGACACAUUUGAACAUCGACAUUUCGAACGCACAUUGCGGUCCGUGGAUACACAUCCAGGACCACUCCUGUCUGAGGGCCGGCUGCAUAAAAACAAAACCACAUUGCGCGCUGUAAAAUGCGCGCAGUUGACGGUUCUCGUCGAGUCUCUCUUGCGAAAGGGGGGCGAGACGAGUCCGUUUAAAAAUUGGAAACAUUAUACGUUGGAUUGAUUCAUUGACACUCUCUGCUGUCGACGGAUUUGCACAACACACGAUGUGUGAUUCAAUUGCGUGUUGCGUUGUUGUGCAUGAUUUAUGUUCGAUUGCGCGGAGUUGUGUCAAUUUCCUCGUGUAGUAGGCGGACUCGACGUCCGAAGGGCGUAUCGGCGCGGUGCUCUCGCGAGCGCUUCGUCGUAGCGUCGUAACGGAUAUCGUGUCUGCCUCCCAUUUUAUACGUUGGCCUCAGAUCAGGGAGGAUUACCCGCCGAAUUUAA
Molecule: ribosomal RNA, 501 nt
Filed under: Epirrita autumnata (autumnal moth)
Lineage: Eukaryota; Metazoa; Arthropoda; Insecta; Lepidoptera; Geometridae
Description: eukaryotic LSU rRNA
Rfam family: 5.8S ribosomal RNA (bases 1-108)
Source: RNAcentral